UCAGUUCGGAACGUGGCUUUUAAAAAUGCGUUUUUAAAUAGUGUGUAUGUAUGUAUUUCUUUCAGGAGCAGCAGCAGCGAGGGAGGGAGGGUGGGAGGGGACUGGGGAGGCUGGGGUGGAGGGAGGGAAGGAGGGAAAGGGGAGCGUCCUUCUGCCACUGGCCAACUCAGCCCCCCAAAUCUGGGGUAGGGCAGCUUGGGGAAGGUGGUCCGCCUGUGGGAGGGGUAGGACCUCGGGACCUCAUACACCUUUAUCCUCAGAAGUCCUCUCUUUGCUUUGGCACAGAUAUGCAAGCUCCUUUAUUUUAAAUUUAUUGUCUCUAUCUAUUUAUCUUUCUUUGCCAGCUUGAAGAAGUGGAGGAGAGAUCAGCACAAGUUAAGUGGGGCGUCCCCAUCCUGUCUUCCUGCUCACCCUCCUUUGCCCCCAACUCCAUCUCUGCGACACCCUGCCCCCCCAAAAGAAGUCACUCCAGGGCUCUGUCUGCAGAGAGCCAGGGUGAGUGCGGGCAAGGCGAGAGAGAGAGCGACCUCGGUCGUGGGCAAGUAGCUUGUUUUUACGUCCUUCAAUAAAAUUUUUAUGAGGAUCA
This 586-nucleotide long non-coding RNA is filed under the name Lynx pardinus (Iberian lynx). Lineage: Eukaryota; Metazoa; Chordata; Mammalia; Carnivora; Felidae. The record is from RNAcentral.